This 988-nucleotide ribosomal RNA is filed under the name Plasmodium knowlesi. RNAcentral describes it as "SSU rRNA". It matches the Rfam family "Eukaryotic small subunit ribosomal RNA", at positions 638 to 1428 of the family's 1831-position model. Lineage: Eukaryota; Apicomplexa; Aconoidasida; Haemosporida; Plasmodiidae. The record is from RNAcentral.
ACAUAACUGAUGCCUCCGCGUAUCGACUUUGUGCGCAUUUUAGCUAUUAUGUGUUCUUUUAAUUAAAAUGAUUCUUUUUAAGAUUCAUCUAUUAAAAAUUUGCUUCGGCAUAAUUUUUUUUGAUGAUCUUGUUACUUUGAGUAAAUUAGAGUGUUCAAAGCAAACAGAUAUAGCAUUUGUGCGUUUGAAUACUACAGCAUGGAAUAACAAAAUUGAACAAGUCAGAAUUUUUUUGUUCUUUUUUCUUAUUUUGGCUUAGUUACGAUUAAUAGGAGUAGCUUGGGGGCAUUUGUAUUCAGAUGUCAGAGGUGAAAUUCUUAGAUUUUCUGGAGACAAACAACUGCGAAAGCAUUUGCCUAAAAUACUUCCAUUAAUCAAGAACGAAAGUUAAGGGAGUGAAGACGAUCAGAUACCGUCGUAAUCUUAACCAUAAACUAUGCCGACUAGGCUUUGGAUGAAAGAUUUUAAAAUAAGAGUUUUUCUUUUCUCUCCGGAGAUUAGAACUCUUAGAUUGCUUCCUUCAGUGCCUUAUGAGAAAUCAAAGUCUUUGGGUUCUGGGGCGAGUAUUCGCGCAAGCGAGAAAGUUAAAAGAAUUGACGGAAGGGCACCACCAGGCGUGGAGCUUGCGGCUUAAUUUGACUCAACACGGGAAAACUCACUAGUUUAAGACAAGAGUAGGAUUGACAGAUUAAUAGCUCUUUCUUGAUUUCUUGGAUGGUGAUGCAUGGCCGUUUUUAGUUCGUGAAUAUGAUUUGUCUGGUUAAUUCCGAUAACGAACGAGAUCUUAACCUGCUAAUUAGCGGCAAAUACGAUAUAUUCUUAUGUAGAAUUGAAUAUAGUGGAUUUGUUGGAUUUUGAAGAAAAUAUUGGAAUUACGUUAAAUGUGAUUCCUUUCCCUUUUCUACUUAAUUUACAUUUUCCAUCUAUUUCUUUUUUGCGUAUGAAUGUAUUUGCUUGAUUGUAAAGCUUCUUAGAGGAACGAUGUGUG